RNAcentral lists this ribosomal RNA (230 nucleotides) under uncultured bacterium. Its description in RNAcentral is "partial 16S ribosomal RNA". It matches the Rfam family "Bacterial small subunit ribosomal RNA", at positions 106 to 334 of the family's 1533-position model. The record is from RNAcentral.
CGGAGUAACGCGUGAGGAACCUGCCUCCAAAGAGGGGACAACAGUUGGAAACGACUGCUAAUACCGCAUAAGCCCACGGCUCGGCAUCGAGCAGAGGGAAAAGGAGCGAUCCGCUUUGAGAUGGCCUCGCGUCCGAUUAGCUAGUUGGUGAGGUAACGGCCCACCAAGGCGACGAUCGGUAGCCGGACUGAGAGGUUGAACGGCCACAUUGGGACUGAGACACGGCCCAG